CAGUCGCCGCGGUAAAACGUAGGUGGCAAGCGUUGUCCGGAAUUAUUGGGCGUAAGGGGCUCGCAGGCGGUUCCUUAAGUCUGAUGUGAAAGCCCCCGGCUCAACCGGGGAGGGUCAUUGGAAACUGGGAAACUUGAGUGCAGAAGAGGAGAGUGGAAUUCCACGUGUAGCGGUGAAAUGCGUAGAGAUGUGGAGGAACACCAGUGGCGAAGGCGACUCUCUGGUCUGUAACUGACGCUGAGGAGCGAAAGCGUGGGGAGCGAACAGGAUUAGAUACCCCCGUAGUCCCUGUCUCUUAUAC
This 301-nucleotide ribosomal RNA is filed under the name uncultured bacterium. Its description in RNAcentral is "partial 16S ribosomal RNA". It matches the Rfam family "Bacterial small subunit ribosomal RNA", at positions 509 to 807 of the family's 1533-position model. The record is from RNAcentral.